UUAAGUUAGAAAGGGCGCACGGUGGAUGCCUUGGCACUAGGAGCCGAUGAAGGACGGGACGAACACCGAUAUGCUUCGGGGAGCUGUAAGCAAGCUUUGAUCCGGAGAUUUCCGAAUGGGGAAACCCACCACUCGUAAUGGAGUGGUAUCCAUAUCUGAAUUCAUAGGAUAUGAGAAGGCAGACCCGGGGAACUGAAACAUCUAAGUACCCGGAGGAAGAGAAAGCAAAUGCGAUUCCCUGAGUAGCGGCGAGCGAAACGGGAUUAGCCCAAACCAAGAGGCUUGCCUCUUGGGGUUGUAGGACACUCUKUACGGAGUUACAAAGGAACGAGGUAGAUGAAGAGGUCUGGAAAGGCCCGCCAUAGGAGGUAACAGCCCUGUAGUCAAAACUUCGUUCUCUCCUGAGUGGAUCCUGAGUACGGCGGAACACGUGAAAUUCCGUCGGAAUCCGGGAGGACCAUCUCCCAAGGCUAAAUACUCCCUAGUGACCGAUAGUGAACCAGUACCGUGAGGGAAAGGUGAAAAGCACCCCGGAAGGGGAGUGAAAGAGAUCCUGAAACCGUGUGCCUACAAGUAGUCAGAGCCCGUUAACGGGUGAUGGCGUGCCUUUUGUAGAAUGAACCGGCGAGUUACGAUCACGUGCAAGGUUAAGCAGAAGAUGCGGAGCCGCAGCGAAAGCGAGUCUGAAUAGGGCGCAUGAGUACGUGGUCGUAGACCCGAAACCAGGUGAUCUACCCAUGUCCAGGGUGAAGUUCAGGUAACACUGAAUGGAGGCCCGAACCCACGCACGUUGAAAAGUGCGGGGAUGAGGUGUGGGUAGGGGUGAAAUGCCAAUCGAACCUGGAGAUAGCUGGUUCUCUCCGAAAUAGCUUUAGGGCUAGCCUCAAGGUAAGAGUCUUGGAGGUAGAGCACUGAUUGGACUAGGGGCCCCUACCGGGUUACCGAAUUCAGUCAAACUCCGAAUGCCAAUGACUUAUCCUUGGGAGUCAGACUGCGAGUGAUAAGAUCCGUAGUCGAAAGGGAAACAGCCCAGACCGCCAGCUAAGGUCCCAAAGUAUACGUUAAGUGGAAAAGGAUGUGGAGUUGCUUAGACAACCAGGAUGUUGGCUUAGAAGCAGCCACCAUUUAAAGAGUGCGUAAUAGCUCACUGGUCGRGUGACUCUGGSCCGAAAAUGUACCGGGGCUAAACGUAUCACCGAAGCUGCGGACUGUUCUUCGAACAGUGGUAGGAGAGCGUUCUAAGGGCUGUGAAGCCAGACCGGAAGGACUGGUGGAGCGCUUAGAAGUGAGAAUGCCGGUAUGAGUAGCGAAAGAGGGGUGAGAAUCCCCUCCACCGAAUGCCUAAGGUUUCCUGAGGAAGGCUCGUCCGCUCAGGGUUAGUCGGGACCUAAGCCGAGGCCGAAAGGCGUAGGCGAUGGACAACAGGUUGAUAUUCCUGUACCACCUCCUCACCAUUUGAGCAAUGGGGGGACGCAGGAGGAUAGGGUAAGCGCGGUAUUGGAUAUCCGCGUCCAAGCAGUUAGGCUGGGAAAUAGGCAAAUCCGUUUCCCAUAAGGCUGAGCUGUGAUGGCGAGCGAAAUAUAGUAGCGAAGUUCCUGAUUCCACACUGCCAAGAAAAGCCUCUAGCGAGGUGAGAGGUGCCCGUACCGCAAACCGACACAGGUAGGCGAGGAGAGAAUCCUAAGGUGAUCGAGAGAACUCUCGUUAAGGAACUCGGCAAAAUGACCCCGUAACUUCGGGGVAAGGGGUGCCCUGUUMGGGUWKUCCMCMWKWCACWYVCMCCSCUCUGACGGAAGGUAGGGGGCUGACGCCUGCCCGGUGCUGGAAGGUUAAGAGGAGCGCUUAGCGUAAGCGAAGGUGCGAAUUGAAGCCCCAGUAAACGGCGGCCGUAACUAUAACGGUCCUAAGGUAGCGAAAUUCCUUGUCGGGUAAGUUCCGACCCGCACGAAAGGCGCAACGAUCUGGGCACUGUCUCAACGAGAGACUCGGUGAAAUUAUAGUACCUGUGAAGAUGCAGGUUACCCGCGACAGGACGGAAAGACCCCGUGGAGCUUUACUGCAGCCUGAUAUUGAAUGUUGGUACAGCUUGUACAGGAUAGGUAGGAGCCUUGGAAACCGGAGCGSUNWCNNUCGGKGGAGGCAUCGGUGGGAUACUACCCUGGCUGUAUUGACCUUCUAACCCGCCGCCCUUAUCGGGCGGGGAGACAGUGUCAGGUGGGCAGUUUGACUGGGGCGGUCGCCUCCUAAAAGGUAACGGAGGCGCCCAAAGGUUCCCUCAGAAUGGUUGGAAAUCAUUCGCAGAGUGUAAAGGCACAAGGGAGCUUGACUGCGAGACCUACAAGUCGAGCAGGGACGAAAGUCGGGCUUAGUGAUCCGGUGGUUCCGCAUGGAAGGGCCAUCGCUCAACGGAUAAAAGCUACCCCGGGGAUAACAGGCUUAUCUCCCCCAAGAGUCCACAUCGACGGGGAGGUUUGGCACCUCGAUGUCGGCUCAUCGCAUCCUGGGGCUGUAGUCGGUCCCAAGGGUUGGGCUGUUCGCCCAUUAAAGCGGUACGCGAGCUGGGUUCAGAACGUCGUGAGACAGUUCGGUCCCUAUCCGUCGCGGGCGCAGGAAAUUUGAGAGGAGCUGUCCUUAGUACGAGAGGACCGGGAUGGACGCACCGCUGGUGUACCAGUUGUUCUGCCAAGGGCAUCGCUGGGUAGCUAUGUGCGGACGGGAUAAGUGCUGAAAGCAUCUAAGCAUGAAGCCCCCCUCAAGAUGAGAUUUCCCAUUCCGCAAGGAAGUAAGAUCCCUGAAAGAUGAUCAGGUUGAUAGGUCUGAGGUGGAAGUGUGGCGACACAUGGAGCUGACAGAUACUAAUCGAUCGAGGACUUAACCAU
This 2879-nucleotide ribosomal RNA is filed under the name Bacillus subtilis. Its description in RNAcentral is "bacterial LSU rRNA". The record is from RNAcentral. Lineage: Bacteria; Bacillati; Bacillota; Bacilli; Caryophanales; Bacillaceae.